RNAcentral lists this long non-coding RNA (485 nucleotides) under Anas platyrhynchos platyrhynchos (common mallard). RNAcentral's name for it is "lncRNA (ENSAPLG00000021333.1)". The record is from RNAcentral. Lineage: Eukaryota; Metazoa; Chordata; Aves; Anseriformes; Anatidae.
AUGUUUGGAUCCUCUAUCCCAAUGCCAGGCAAGUCACUGCUGAAGACACAUCUGAUGAGAGGUGAAGAGAACUGUCCUGUAACUUGGUCUGCUUCAUCUUGGACUGGAGUUUUACAAAAGUUUCUGCAGGCUCGGGAAAAGUGCAAUUUUCUGAGAACCUGUUUGGCUUCAUCCAGUCUGCGCAGCUGGCUGGAAGAUCUGGAGAUUUUCACACUACACUGUUCACCUUUUAAGAUUUUGAUUUCUUCAAACAAAGAAAAAAUCCAGAAAAAGGUGGAAUGAAAUGGUUCAAAAUAGGAGCAGCACCUUUCCACUGCAUGCCAUUACACUGCUAAUGCUGAUAAGAAACUCCUGGUAAAUGCCAUUCUGAGUACUGGUGAUUUUUGUAUUAGUGUGAUCUGUCCAUAAUCAGUAUUAUGAAUAACAAUUUUUUACUUACUCUCUUUUUGUUUUCUAGUCAAAUAAAGACUUUGGGAGACCAAGCA